Molecule: small nuclear RNA, 120 nt
Organism: Molossus molossus (Pallas's mastiff bat)
Lineage: Eukaryota; Metazoa; Chordata; Mammalia; Chiroptera; Molossidae
Source: RefSeq, a predicted model, not a curated record
GUGUCGUUGUGAAAGGAGGUUAUCACUCCCCUUGACAAGGAUGAGAGGCCCUCGGGCCUGACAACAUACAUGGGGUCAAGGCAUUGAAACCUACUUCAUGGCAUCUAACCAUUGUUUUUU